Molecule: ribosomal RNA, 522 nt
Filed under: uncultured bacterium
Lineage: Bacteria
Description: bacterial SSU rRNA
Rfam family: Bacterial small subunit ribosomal RNA
Source: RNAcentral
AGAGUUUGAUUAUGGCUCAGGAUGAACGCUAGCUACAGGCUUAACACAUGCAAGUCGAGGGGCAGCAUGAUCGAAGCUUGCUUUGAUUGAUGGCGACCGGCGCACGGGUGAGUAACGCGUAUCCAACCUUCCCUAUAGUAGAGGAUAGCCCGGCGAAAGUCGGAUUAAUACUCUAUGUUUUCCGAAGCAGACAUCUAAUUUGGAACAAAGGUUCACCGCUAUAGGAUGGGGAUGCGUCUGAUUAGGUAGUCGGCGGGGUAACGGCCCACCGAGCCAACGAUCAGUAGGGGUUCUGAGAGGAAGGUCCCCCACAUUGGAACUGAGACACGGUCCAAACUCCUACGGGAGGCAGCAGUGAGGAAUAUUGGUCAAUGGGCGAGAGCCUGAACCAGCCAAAGUAGCGUGCAGGAUGACGGCCCUAUGGGUUGUAAACUGCUUUUAUACGGGGAUAAAGUGAGGGACGUGUCCCUUUUUGUAGGUACCGUAUGAAUAAGGACCGGCUAAUUCCGUGCCAGCCGCGGC